This 772-nucleotide ribosomal RNA is filed under the name Salmonella enterica subsp. enterica serovar Johannesburg. RNAcentral's name for it is "partial 23S ribosomal RNA". It matches the Rfam family "Bacterial large subunit ribosomal RNA", at positions 2170 to 2925 of the family's 2925-position model. The record is from RNAcentral. Lineage: Bacteria; Pseudomonadati; Pseudomonadota; Gammaproteobacteria; Enterobacterales; Enterobacteriaceae.
GCCAGUCUGCAUGGAGCCGGCCUUGAAAUACCACCCUUUAAUGUUUGAUGUUCUAACGUGGACCCGUGAUCCGGGUUGCGGACAGUGUCUGGUGGGUAGUUUGACUGGGGCGGUCUCCUCCUAAAGAGUAACGGAGGAGCACGAAGGUUGGCUAAUCCUGGUCGGACAUCAGGAGGUUAGUGCAAUGGCAUAAGCCAGCUUGACUGCGAGCGUGACGGCGCGAGCAGGUGCGAAAGCAGGUCAUAGUGAUCCGGUGGUUCUGAAUGGAAGGGCCAUCGCUCAACGGAUAAAAGGUACUCCGGGGAUAACAGGCUGAUACCGCCCAAGAGUUCAUAUCGACGGCGGUGUUUGGCACCUCGAUGUCGGCUCAUCACAUCCUGGGGCUGAAGUAGGUCCCAAGGGUAUGGCUGUUCGCCAUUUAAAGUGGUACGCGAGCUGGGUUUAGAACGUCGUGAGACAGUUCGGUCCCUAUCUGCCGUGGGCGCUGGAGAACUGAGGGGGGCUGCUCCUAGUACGAGAGGACCGGAGUGGACGCAUCACUGGUGUUCGGGUUGUCAUGCCAAUGGCACUGCCCGGUAGCUAAAUGCGGAAGAGAUAAGUGCUGAAAGCAUCUAAGCACGAAACUUGCCCCGAGAUGAGUUCUCCCUGAGACUUAGAGUCUCCUGAAGGAACGUUGAAGACGACGACGUUGAUAGGCCGGGUGUGUAAGCGCAGCGAUGCGUUGAGCUAACCGGUACUAAUGAACCGUGAGGCUUAACCUUACAACGCCGAA